UCAAACUUGGUCAUUUAGAGGAAGUAAAAGUCGUAACAAGGUUUCCGUAGGUGAACCUGCGGAAGGAUCAUUAGAGGGGGCCGUCGGGGGCCGUAAACCUGCCGGGCGCAAGCCCGUGAAACCAAACCAACCGUGAACCACUGCCUUAGGCCCGCGAGGGUACGGGCGCUUUACACUGUAGUCAAAAGGCACUGAAAGCAAACAAAAGAGUACAACUCUCAACGAUGGAUCUCUAGGCUCUCGCAUCGAUGAAGAACGCAGC
This 262-nucleotide unclassified non-coding RNA is filed under the name uncultured fungus. Its description in RNAcentral is "partial contains small subunit ribosomal RNA, internal transcribed spacer 1, and 5.8S ribosomal RNA". The stretch from base 1 to 73 matches the Rfam family "Eukaryotic small subunit ribosomal RNA", at positions 1759 to 1831 of the family's 1831-position model. Lineage: Eukaryota; Fungi. The record is from RNAcentral.